This 253-nucleotide ribosomal RNA is filed under the name uncultured bacterium. RNAcentral's name for it is "partial 16S ribosomal RNA". It matches the Rfam family "Bacterial small subunit ribosomal RNA", at positions 524 to 776 of the family's 1533-position model. The record is from RNAcentral.
UACGUAGGGGGCAAGCGUUGUCCGGAUUUACUGGGUGUAAAGGGCGUGUAGCCGGGCUGACAAGUCAGAUGUGAAAUCCGGGGGCUCAACCCCCGAACUGCAUUUGAAACUGUUGGUCUUGAGUAUCGGAGAGGCAGGCGGAAUUCCUAGUGUAGCGGUGAAAUGCGUAGAUAUUAGGAGGAACACCAGUGGCGAAGGCGGCCUGCUGGACGACAACUGACGUUGAGGCUCGAAAGCGUGGGGAGCAAACAGG